Molecule: ribosomal RNA, 820 nt
Filed under: uncultured bacterium
Lineage: Bacteria
Description: bacterial SSU rRNA
Rfam family: Bacterial small subunit ribosomal RNA
Source: RNAcentral
GUUGUCCGGAAUUAUUGGGCGUAAAGAGCUCGUAGGCGGUCUGUCGCGUCGGCUGUGAAAACCCGAGGCUCAACCUCGGGCCUGCAGUCGAUACGGGCAAACUAGAGUGUUGCAGGGGAGACUGGAAUCCCUGGUGUAGCGGUGAAAUGCGCAGAUAUCAGGAGGAACACCGGUGGCGAAGGCGGGUCUCUGGGCAACAACUGACGCUGAGGAGCGAAAGCGUGGGGAGCGAACAGGAUUAGAUACCCUGGUAGUCCACGCCGUAAACGUUGGGCGCUAGGUGUGGGGGCCAUUCCACGGUCUCCGUGCCGCAGCUAACGCAUUAAGCGCCCCGCCUGGGGAGUACGGCCGCAAGGCUAAAACUCAAAGGAAUUGACGGGGGCCCGCACAAGCGGCGGAGCAUGUUGCUUAAUUCGAUGCAACGCGAAGAACCUUACCUAGGCUUGACAUGCACGGAAAUCUGUCAGAGAUGGCAGGUCCUUCGGGGUCGUGCACAGGUGGUGCAUGGUUGUCGUCAGCUCGUGUCGUGAGAUGUUGGGUUAAGUCCCGCAACGAGCGCAACCCUCGUUCUAUGUUGCCAGCGGGUCAUGCCGGGGACUCAUAGGAGACUGCCGGGGUCAACUCGGAGGAAGGGGGGGAUGACGUCAAAUCAUCAUGCCCCUUAUGUCUAGGGCUGCAAACAUGCUACAAUGGCCGGUACAAAGGGCUGCGAUACCGCGAGGUGGAGCGAAUCCCAAAAAGCCGGUCUCAGUUCGGAUUGGGGUCUGCAACUCGACCCCAUGAAGUUGGAGUCGCUAGUAAUCGCAGAUCAGCAACGCUG